UCAAGUUAUUUCCUUAGAGGAGCUAUUAUUUACAUUAAUAUGUUUAGUUGUGCAAAUCAACUUAACUUGA
RNAcentral lists this transfer RNA (70 nucleotides) under Sclomina erinacea. RNAcentral describes it as "tRNA-Val". Lineage: Eukaryota; Metazoa; Arthropoda; Insecta; Hemiptera; Reduviidae. The record is from RNAcentral.